CCUACGGGAGGCAGCAGUGAGGAAUAUUGGUCAAUGGACGCAAGUCUGAACCAGCCAUGCCGCGUGCAGGAAGACGGCCCUAUGAGUUGUAAACUGCUUUUGUACGAGGGUAAACUCCGAUACGCGUAUCUGUCUGCAAGUAUCGUACGAAUAAGGAUCGGCUAACUCCGUGCCAGCAGCCGCGGUAAUACGGAGGAUUCAAGUGUUAUCCGGAUUUAUUGGGUUUAAAGGGAGCGUAGGCCGCAUGUCAAGCGUGCUGUGAAAUGUCCGGGCUCAACCCGGGCCUUGCAGCGCGAACUGGCGGGCUUGAGUCCGCGGAAAGCAGGCGGAAUUCGUCGUGUAGCGGUGAAAUGCUUAGAUAUGACGAAGAACCCCGAUUGCGAAGGCAGCCUACUAAACUGCAACUGACAUUGAUGCUCGAAAGUGUGGGUAUCAAACAGGAUUAGAUACCCCGGUAGUC
RNAcentral lists this ribosomal RNA (460 nucleotides) under uncultured bacterium. RNAcentral describes it as "partial 16S ribosomal RNA". It matches the Rfam family "Bacterial small subunit ribosomal RNA", at positions 338 to 795 of the family's 1533-position model. The record is from RNAcentral.